Molecule: long non-coding RNA, 2683 nt
Organism: Trachemys scripta elegans
Lineage: Eukaryota; Metazoa; Chordata; Testudines; Emydidae
Exons: 2
Source: RefSeq, a predicted model, not a curated record
UUUUUUCCUUGAAGGGAGGGGAAGGGGACCAGAAACUUCUUCAGUUUUUUUCCCUAGGUGUGUCUAGAUCCUAGAGCCAGACGACUGGAGAGGUGCCAAUGUAAAGGAUAAAAGAGAACCAGUAAUCAGGAUAAAACCUCUAUUGUAUUGAUGGCAGUGGUUUAGAAAUGUGAUUGACCUAUAUUGCAGCUGUAGAUAUCAAUUCAAGUGUGUGGAGAAACUGGCCAGACAGAGGGAAAUGCAAGUUAAUUCUAUUUUUAUAAGUUUGGAUUCUUCAUAAAGUAAUUUACAUUUUUUAAAUUAUCAAACUAUAAAGGUACGAUUUUUUUGGGAGAGGGAAACCUUUUUGUGUAUGUCGAAAAGGGUGGUGGUGGGUAGGGAUAAAAACAAGCUUGUUUCUAGACUCUUUGCAGAUACUAUAGUUCCUAUUGGCUUGGUUAGAAGUGUGGUUCUAUCUACUGUGCUGUUGCGAGAACAUUCCCCAGAGUCGGAGCAGCUUUUACCUUGGAAGAAAGGACAGUUUACCUAAAAUGGAGUUGGAAAGUUGGAUUGGAGCUUGUAUUCAGGAUUCAUGGUCGUUCAGUCAUCCUCUAAGGAGAAUUUAAGAAGAGCUUGGCUAGUCCAAACUUGAAAGUUAAGUUUUCUCUAGUAAACAAACAAAACAGACGAUCUUUGAUACAGUAUGUGUGUUGUGGGUGGAAUUUUAGGUGCAGUUUUAUAUGGCUUGACAUAUUUGUGGGGGUGGGGCAACAUAAUCGUCUAUAUGUUCUUCAGAGUCUCUCCCUAAACUGCAGAAACAUCCAUAACUGGAAAAAAAGAAUGUUCAGCUUCAAUCCUGGCAAGUAAUUCUCAUAAUGUAGCUUUAAAUUGUUCUUGGGGAAGUGUCCCAUUGAGUAAUUGGGAAUGUUCACACAGGGCCCAUAUAUGCAUGUAUAUACUUAAAAUGCACACCGUGCUAGAUAGAGAAUAGACAACGUUAAAACUGUAACCCAGACUAACACAAAGUAGCUUGUUUAAUUUUUUUUCCCUGUAGCAUAAAACUUACCAAAAAUACUCUCUCUCAGAAGUGGAAAGCUUCCACUAGUCCAAAUUAACAUGGACUUAAGAUAAAAAACACACAUUCAAAUCCUUUUGUAACUAUUAGGGUUGUGGUGUCUAGACACAUAUUCUGGUGCAUAUCUGUAAUUGUGGGAAUCGGUUUGAAACCUUGGAUAUAGUGGUGUGUGGCUUUUUCUUUUUUUGGCAUUUUUUUUCAGGUGCUUAAUGUAACUUAAUGCUACUGUAGAGACUUCAGAGAGAAAGAAGUUGCUUAAUGACCCUGGUGUGAUUCCUUCUGAUGGUAGCUUGUGUAUUUUUCAAACAUUUUUCAGAUCCGCCAUCAGAAUCAUAGCCCCAACGAGCCCUGAGAAAAUAUGGCCUCAUAAAUGCAGAGGGGAACAGCUUCUUGGCGAAUGAUAAGUAAAGGCAGAAAAAUUCUAAUAUUCCUUACUACCUGAUGGAAAAGGAUCCCAGAUGUUAACAAGUGAAAAUCCAAUGUGUCUACGGAAAAAAAAAAAAAAAAAAGCCAUAACCAAUGAAACUGACAAAUUUGAAGUAAUAAGCAUUGACUAUCAAUUAUCUGAUCAGAAUAUUUGCUCUAAGAAAUCUCAAUUAUAUGCAGUAAAGAGCAAAUGGCCUUCUUGAAAUACAUAAUUUCAUUAAAGUGAGUGAACAACAACUUCCACAUCAUUGCAAUUAAAUUGGAAAAAAAAUACCGGCAGAAAAAAUGCAUAUGCAAAUACAUAUAGCUUCUACCAAACUAUUUGGUAUGAAUAUUACCACCUAAAUCUUACGGAUUUGAAGAAAGAAUAUGAAUUAUUUUGAAACCACAAUCUAAUUUGGGAUCAACUUUCACUACUGUUGGAUUUGAGAGGAGGCUUGUGCUGUGUUCCACUGUUUACCUGAGACAGGUUUUCUGCACUAUUAAUGAGGAGUUUUGCUUCAUUUCAUCUGGGAGCUGAAAAAAACAAGCAGGCAUCUAUUACAGAUAAGUUUAUCAAUUAUAUCCGCAGAUAUUGCAUGUUAGGGAAAUGUACUUUUUAAAUGCUAUGAAGCAGUGGAAGCCCUAAACAUCUGAACUGGCAUUUCUCAUUCCCAGCCUUUAGCAGUGUGUGGAAUGGGUAUGAGGGACUUAACCUACCCCUGUGCCUAUUCAGGGCUGCACUUCCACUUUCUAAAUUCCUUUCUCCUCUGUGCACAGGCCACAGUUGGAUUGUGCCCAUCAUCUACAGGCAGAUGAGCAUAGCAGCAAUGCUGUGGUGCUUCCGAACAAACAUGCAAUGUAUAUCCUCCUUUGGAGGCUGAGCCUACUCUGGGCCUACAGUUUGAGAGCCUAAAAUGCUAUACCAAACAGCACAUUAUGCUGCCAAAAAACACACCUUAUUUUUCUGCUAUUUUGUAGCAUUAAAAUACAUGCAGAAAACAUGGGAUUAAAACAAAAAAAAGCUAUAAAGGUACCUGUUAAUAAAGUUACUGAUGUGCUCUAAGAAUAGACAGUUUGUCUUCAUUUUUAUUAAUAAAAAUGUGCUGUCAAUGUUCUUUGUGUGUGGUUAGCUCUGGGGCAGUGUGGUGGGGGGAUUCUUCUUUAAUCUUUCAGAAUCUUUCUCCAAGAACACCUGAUCUUAAUUGGACGGGAGCAGGAAUU